GGCUUCAGGUCGGGGACAACAGUUGGAAACGACUGCUAAUACCGGAUGUGCCGGGAGGUGAAAGAUUUAUCGCCUGAAGAUAAGCUCGCGUCUGAUUAGCUAGUUGCGUAGUGUAAGGGACUACCAAGGCGACGAUCACGUAGCUGGUCUGAGAGGAUGAUCAGCCACACUGGGACUGAGACACGGCCCAGACUCCUACGGGAGGCAGCAGUGGGGAAUUUUCCGCAAUGGGCGAAAGCCUGACGGAGCAAUACCGCGUGAGGGAGGAAGGCUCUUGGGUCGUAAACCUCUUUUCUCAAGGAAGAAGAAAGUGACGGUACUUGAGGAAUAAGCAUCGGCUAACUCCGUGCCAGCAGCCGCGGUAAUACGGAGGAUGCAAGCGUUAUCCGGAAUGAUUGGGCGUAAAGGGUCCGCAGGUGGAACUGAAAGUCUGCUGUUAAAGAAUCUGGCUCAACCAGAUAAAAGCAGUGGAAACUACAGAACUAGAGUACGUUCGGGGCAGAAGGAAUUCCUGGUGUAGCGGUGAAAUGCGUAGAUAUCAGGAAGAACACCGGUGGCGAAAGCGUUCUGCUAGGCCGUAACUGACACUGAGGGACGAAG
Molecule: ribosomal RNA, 600 nt
Filed under: Neowollea manoromense C110
Lineage: Bacteria; Bacillati; Cyanobacteriota; Cyanophyceae; Nostocales; Nostocaceae
Description: bacterial SSU rRNA
Rfam family: Bacterial small subunit ribosomal RNA
Source: RNAcentral